UACGGGGGGAGCAAGCGUUGUUCGGAUUUACUGGGCGUAAAGGGCGCGUAGGCGGCCACCGCAAGUCGACUGUGAAAUCUCCGGGCUUAACCCGGAACGGUCAGCCGAUACUGCGGGGCUAGAGUGCAGAAGGGGCAACUGGAAUUCUCGGUGUAGCGGUGAAAUGCGUAGAUAUCAAGAGGAACACCUGAGGUGAAGACGGGUUGCUGGGCCAACACUGACGCUGAGGCGCGAAAGCCAGGGGAGCAAACGGG
RNAcentral lists this ribosomal RNA (254 nucleotides) under uncultured bacterium. RNAcentral describes it as "partial 16S ribosomal RNA". It matches the Rfam family "Bacterial small subunit ribosomal RNA", at positions 524 to 776 of the family's 1533-position model. The record is from RNAcentral.